UAUUGAAACAAUGGCGUCCCUCAACAUCAUACAACAUGAAAAAAGAUACUGGGGGUUUGUUAUUCUUUCUCAGUCAUGUUUUAGGGAUAAUCAUGCUCUGUAUUGUGGAACUACAGCCCCCACAAUGCUUUGGCGCAUGUGUGCCGGAAGUGGAAUGGCACCGUUGUCAGUGAGUUAGCCGCGGGUCUUUCUUUAGUUUUUAUCUUGUCUUAUUGGCGCCGAAUUGUCCGUGAUUAGCUCCUGUUUGCAGUGAACUCGUGGAUGUUCAGACACCGGUCGCUAAAUCACUGUGGUACUGAAGAAAAGUUGAAAACACGAUGAUUCUCAGGCAGGUUCGGGAGCUGACAGCUGCGUCUUCUCUCCCGUCACUUCUCCUCGGAUUUAUGGACGUUUAAUCCCGGCAGACAUCAGAGAAAAUGACACACGGUGAAAGUGUUUCUGAUGGAGGCGGUGGGAGGAGCUUCACGAGGUCACUGUCAGGAAUCAAGGAACAGGUGUCAGCAGCAGCAGCAGACCUGAGGUGUGACAGAGCAGGUCUCUGUAGGACUCGGAGGCGGUGUUCCUCAUCCAGCCCUUCAGCAGGUUGUACCUUGAGUUCUGCAGCGGGAUGUUGACGGAGGAGGCGUACUGCAGAGUCCGGGAGACGCUGGCUCUGAACGACGGCUUCCUGGCUGUGAACAGGACGAAGAUCUGAAAACCCUGAAGAGACGAGAGGAGGAGACGCAGAAUAAGAUGCUGAAGACCAGGUGUGCGUGUCCUGUAGUGACGAGGACCAGGUACCCCAGAGUCCAGGAAAGACCCAGUAACACAGCCAGAGAGAAACUGCUGAGGAACUUCUUCUUCAGAG
Molecule: long non-coding RNA, 847 nt
Organism: Lates calcarifer (barramundi perch)
Lineage: Eukaryota; Metazoa; Chordata; Actinopteri; Centropomidae
Exons: 5
Source: RefSeq, a predicted model, not a curated record